CACUCCCGCCUCCUUCCGGCGCGCCGUCAUCCCCGCCACCUACCAGCGCGCCGUCAUCCCCGUCUCCUACCGGCGCGCCGCCGGACCCUCCUUCUUCCCUGGAGCGCCGCCACCCCGCUGCCCCCGCCGUCUUCCCGAGCGCGCCGCUGCCGCCGUCUUCCCCAGAGCGCCACCGCCCCGCCACCCCCGCCCACGGGACCAGUGGUCCCAUCGCCGGUCUCCCCCCACCCAGAUCUGCCGGAGGCGCACCGAAUCCUGCCUCACGGCCGGUUCCCGCGACUCGGCCGCCGCCCCAACCGCUGCAGCAGCCGAGCACCUCCACUAGGUGCCCCGGCGGUUCAGACCCCCACCUGGCCCCUCCCUCGAACCCAGCGAGCCUCCGCCCCGGCCUACUUCCCGCGCGAGGUCGCCUCGCCUCCUCCUGGCGCACCGCCGCCCCCACCAUCUGGAUCGAUGUCCCACUUGAGUUAGACGUGAACGAUAUGUUGAAGAGAAAGGGGGCACAGGCUAUUUCAGACCCUGAUUCGUUUUCUCAGGCAAUGGCAAAGCUCCGUCAGCGUUAUGAUGAUCUGAAAGAGCGGUAUGCAGUUUCUGAUGUUACUGUUUCAGUACAGAACGUGGCUUCUCAGCUAGGCUACAGUAGCAUCGACUCUUUGAGCCUGGAGGACAUGGUCAUUGAGGUUUGCAAUAUAAGCAUACUAUAGACAGAACUGUGUCUACACAAUUGGACAAAGGGCAAAAAUUGCAGCUGAAUAUGGGACCUGUUUUUGUAAAUAACUUCUCGUGAAAUACUUGUCAUCAAAUGCAAGAGGGGUCGUCGAGGCUGCCCGCAACCCGAUGCCCUCCACGGACACCACCACCAUGAUGGCGGAAGGAAGAGCAAGAGGGGUCGUCGAGGCUGGGUGCUGCCGUGAGGAUGCUGGCGCCCGUGCACGGUGAUGGCAUUGUGGCGGAAGGUCUUCUUCCUGGGGAGCCGCGCCCAGCCUCAGUCUCCACCCGCGGCCACACUAACAAGAUAGAUCUCAAUGCUUGCUUGCUAAUGUGCAUGUGUGGAUGUUGCUGGUUGCUGCUGCUGUGCACGUCUGCUUGGUGUGCCCCUGCUGUUUUGUGUUCUCACCACCACAUCCAUGACAAAUAAAAUUUCUUAGUUUUCUUAGAAUGGUUUGUGCCAUGAUCUUCAUGCCAGGCAGGGUUUACAUUACGCAUGUGGACAACAGGAUUUUGAUGUCCAGUUAAACUUUCACAUGGUUGUGCAUAUGCACUAUCUAUUAAACCGACAAUCAUUGUUUUCAGGUUCAGGUUCGAUAUGUGAGGGCUAAAGUACACUCCUGAGUUAAAGAAAGACCUCGAGAGACACUGUAGUGUGUAUGCAGGAACUAAAGACAUGUAUUAGAGAAUGAAGCAUCAAUCAUCUUCUUGCUUAUUGUUUGUCAAAUGCUAUAUUAAAGUACUGUAUCAAUUCCAUUGUUAUUUACACGAAGGGACGGAUUAAGACCUGUGGGAUCAUGGCUCUUUCAGCUUGAGCAGUAUUUGCGAUGUAUCCUUCACUUACCAUGCCACGGGGUUGUUGCGGAUAUUGGUGGAGGACUUGGUGGACUAGCGCAAAAUGGAAUCCUAGAAAGAAGUGAAACUAAUCAGCUAUGGUCAGUCGGCAGAGGCGCAUGCAGAGCAAAGGAGGCUUCUGUGGCGCCGGAGCAACAAUUUCAGUGAGCACAUGGACUUGAUGCAGGGAGGGUCGUCGAAGAUAAGGACGGCGGCCCGGCCUACACAUGAUGGAACACACAUUGCCGACGAUGCGGUACCAGGGCUAGAGAAGAGAUCCCAAGAAUGCCCGCCGCAGUACUGCAUUGCCACUAUCUUCAAAGACGCGUCGCUGGAUGUUGUUAGGGAUUUCUUCUGGGAUGAUGACUUCCGGGUCAAGAACACUUGGGACAAUAUCUGCAGCACGAGAUUGAACGACGGGUGCACAAAUACUGGAACAAUGGUUGUUUGCUGGGUCAGGAAGGUGAGGUAUCUGCGUGAUAUCCCUGGCAAUAUUUCUGGAAUGCAUUACAAACUAUAUAAGUUUUGCCGUCACUGCUUGCCUUGCCUGUGCAGUUUCCAUUCUUCUGCAACGACAGGGAGUAUGUUAUCGGUCGCAGGGUCUGGGCAUCGGGAAAGACGUACUACUGCGCUAAUAAGGUGUUUUAUGAAAUGUCCUCCGUCCGAAAAUACUUGUCAUCAAAAUGAAUAAAAGGAGAUCACAAUGUUGGACACGACCACCUAAGAAUUGAAUAUUUUUAGUUGGAAUACUGUUUUAAUGAUCAAUCACAAUGUUGGACGCGACCACCUACUUAUUCCCGAGACUUUAAGUCUUUGGUGGCUUAAGCACAAUAUGACUGGCAUAUGUUCUACAUCUGCGGCAUGUAAUGACCCUACUGGCAUUUCAAGAGGUCUGUAAAUACAACACUCUUCCAAAGUAUUUCCAAGUCUGGAUGGUUAUUGAGCCUGCAUUGAUGAAAUAGUUGACAAAGAAGGAACUGAAAUGAGGUUAUUGAAGCUGCAUUUAAGAAUCUUGGUUGAUGAGCUGACAUCUGACCAAAAACUCAAGAACUAGAAACAAGCCUGACAUCCUUUUUCUGUAAUCGGAUUUACUAUAUUUCUGCAGCAGGCUACAUGCUUCUCUGAAUGACCAUUUAAGGAGUGAACAUGAAUUACUGAUGUAUAUGUUCCAUGCUCCAUGGGGAGGGAACAAGGAUUGAUUUUCGCCAGGAGUAGGGAGAGUAUGACUUGCCUAACAGAAGCACAAACACAAAUGGACACUCUGAAGUUGUAUCAGACACACCACCACAAGACAUGCUGUGUGCGUCACAAUUCUUAGCAGCGACCGUUACAAUCGUGCAACGCCAAGAUGGCUAGCGACAAGGAUUUGAGGAGGACAAGACGGUAGCUAUCGACAAGGAUUCAAGAAGGAUCAGAUGCCACGGUAGUGGUUGUAAUAAUAGUCGAGACGAAUCUGAAAAAAUUGAGUUGAGUUGUUGAGAUGUGGAGAUAUGAUGGAUUUUGCAAAAAAAAAAAAAAAAAAA
This is a long non-coding RNA of Triticum dicoccoides, 3065 nucleotides long. RefSeq lists it as uncharacterized. NCBI's taxonomy places the organism in Eukaryota, Viridiplantae, Streptophyta, Magnoliopsida, Poales, Poaceae. The record is from RefSeq and is a predicted model, not a curated record. The transcript has 12 exons.